CAUGGAAUGAUGCUUCACCAAUGGUUCGGGCGACUGGAUUUUGUUACACUAAUCCAGGAUCUCAGGCUUCAUCCGUCGAUGAAUCUUGUAUUCAUCGGUCUAUAAAUAAGGAGUCAACAAAAGGUUGUUAGUUGCUAUUGCUAAGAACACGAUACUCAAAAUUGGUAUUGUGAAGGUGGCAGAAGCUCAAUAAGCAUUUGAAAAGGAAUCUCUUUCUAGAGUAGAGAGUGAAGUUAGGGGGGAAUUAGCACAAACACUUCAUGACAACGAGGUUAAUAUUUUUUCCUCGCUAUCAUAGCUCCAAGUUCCUUUAUUUCUAUUAAACUAUCUUAGACAUUAAUACGCCUAAUACAAAUUCUUUUGUUCUCUACUUUGUUUUUUCUUACUAUCAUAGCUCUGAAUUCCUUUUCUCACUUCAUGGCAAUGAGGUUAACACACUUGGUAUGCCCAUUUUUUUGCUUCCUCUAUUUUCACGAAAUUCAAUGUGAAUGUUUAUUUAUGACUUCAAAAGAACAAAUUUGUGUUUCUUUCUUUCUUAAAGGAGCAACUUUGAAAGUGCUUCCUCUGUUUUCACGCAGAGAGUUUUCUUCACACUCACUGGCAUGCCGUUAAGUUAGGCUUACGUAUCUUUGUUUUGGUUCAAGUGUUGCACUUACGUGAGCUGAUUUCUCGACAUGCUAUAUCCCUAACACUAAAGUAAUUUUGAGGAAAUCUCUCAUAACUCUCCUGAAGAGGCCAAGAGUAGAAAAGCUGCAAAUUAGCUUCUUCUUUUUUCUGUCUCAAGAAUGGUGUCUUUUAUGGGUAGCUUGACCUGUUUAUUCUUUGGGAUGCGUUUUUUAUGACUUAUUCUAGAGAUUUGUAUAUAUUAGCUACAUAUCUAUGUUAAUUGUUUCAGUUUCCUGGUAAAUUGGUCCAUCGUUGUUGCUA
This is a long non-coding RNA of Brassica oleracea var. oleracea, 927 nucleotides long. RefSeq lists it as uncharacterized. NCBI's taxonomy places the organism in Eukaryota, Viridiplantae, Streptophyta, Magnoliopsida, Brassicales, Brassicaceae. The record is from RefSeq and is a predicted model, not a curated record. The transcript is spliced from 3 exons.